RNAcentral lists this long non-coding RNA (1195 nucleotides) under Callithrix jacchus (white-tufted-ear marmoset). RNAcentral's name for it is "lncRNA (ENSCJAG00000083710.1)". Lineage: Eukaryota; Metazoa; Chordata; Mammalia; Primates; Cebidae. The record is from RNAcentral.
CCUCUUGCAACUCUAUCACUUGACCUAUAACAAGUUAUUCAGAGGUUAAUAAAUGACAAACCAAAUAAAAAUGUAUUGGUUUCACAGAAAAAAAGCAUUGACUUAGCAUUUCUUUCAGCCAGCUAGAAGUAAUAUUAUUGAGACCCAGUCAACUUUGUUUUCAUACACCAGAGUUGGCUAUGGUCUAAUCUUUCACAGACUGAGGUUAAUGUUCAGUUUUUUGUUUGGUCGGUUGGUUGGUUUUGAGAUAAGGUCUUGCUCUGUCACCCAGGCUGCAGUGCAGCGGCACAACCACUGCUCACUACAGCCUCGACCUCCCAGGCUCAAGCAAUCUUCCCAUCUCACCCUCCCAACUAGCUGGAACUACAGAUGUGUGCCACCAGGCCCAGGACAUGCUUCCACAAUGAUGCACCUGUCUGGCUGUUGGAUGGAGACCCUGGAGAAGGCUGCUGACAGACGCCACUACAGGAAUCUCUCCAUAGGGCUGCUGGAGCACCCUCACGUGUCAAGUGGCUUCCCCAGAGUAAAUGUCCCAAGGAAAAACAAGGAAGGGAUCAUAGCCCUCUUAUGAUCUAGCCUCCAAAAUCACACACCAUUAUUAAUACUUCUGCCAUAGUCUAUUUGCUAGAAGUGAGACACUAAGUCCCUCUAACAUUCAAGAAGAGGUAAAUUAAGAGACAUUUCUAGAAGGAAGAAGUAUCAAACAAAUCCCAGACAUACUUUAAAACCAUUUCUAUUAUAGCAUUAUGUGAAAAAACACAUUAUAUGAAAAACAUAUAUUGAAAAAAUUUUUAAUUGUACUUUAGGUUCUGGCGUAUAUGUGCAAAUCAUGCAGGAUUGUUGCAUAGGUACAUACACGGCAAGGUGGUUUGCUGCCUCCAUCCCCGAUCACCUAUAUCUGGCCUUUUUCCCCAUAUUAUCCCUACCCAACCUCCCCACCCCCCGCUGUCCCUCCCUUAGCGCCUGCCUCAACAGACCCCAGUGUGUGAUGCUUCCCUCCCUGUGCAUAAUGUUCUCAUUGUUCAACACCUACCUAUGAGUGAGAACAUGCAGUAUUUGAUUUUCUGUUCUGUGUCAGUUUGCUGAGAAUGAUGGUUUAAUAUUAAAAUGUUAAAAUCAGUUUCCUUUGUGUGUUAGAAUUGAGAGUUAUUAUUGUCCUCUCUACUUUUCAAUACUUCUAUGCAAGAAAGCAUUC